UCCGAUUUAGCCAUGCUAGUCGCACGGGUUUAGACCCGUGGCGAACAGCUCAGUAACACGUGGCCAAACUGCCCUGUGGACGGGGAUAAUCUCGGGAAACUGAGGCUAAUCCCCGAUAGGGCUUCCAUCCUGGAGAGGAGGAAGUCCAAAAGUUGCGCUGCGGCACCACAGGAUGUGGCUGCGGCCGAUUAGGUAGACGGUGGGGUAACGGCCCACCGUGCCAGUAAUCGGUACGGGUGAUGAGAGUCAGAGCCCGGAGACGGUAUCUGAGACAAGAUACCGGGCCCUACGGGGCGCAGCAGGCGCGAAACCUUUACACUGUACGACAGUGCGAUAGGGGGAUUCCGAGUGCGAGGGCAUACAGUCCUCGCUUUUCUGGACCGUAAGGAGGUCCAAGAAUAAGGGCUGGGCAAGACCGGUGCCAGCCGCCGCGGUAAUACCGGCAGCCCGAGUGAUGGCCGAUAUUAUUGGGCCUAAAGCGUCCGUAGCU
RNAcentral lists this ribosomal RNA (490 nucleotides) under uncultured haloarchaeon. Its description in RNAcentral is "bacterial SSU rRNA". It matches the Rfam family "Archaeal small subunit ribosomal RNA", at positions 39 to 526 of the family's 1478-position model. Lineage: Archaea; Methanobacteriati; Methanobacteriota; Halobacteria; Halobacteriales; Halobacteriaceae. The record is from RNAcentral.